AACGAACGCUGGCGGCAUGCCUAACACAUGCAAGUCGAACGAGAUCUUCGGGUCUAGUGGCGCACGGGUGCGUAACGCGUGGGAAUCUGCCCUUUGGUUCGGAAUAACAGUUGGAAACGACUGCUAAUACCGGAUGAUGACGAAAGUCCAAAGAUUUAUCGCCAGAGGAUGAGCCCGCGUAGGAUUAGCUAGUUGGUGUGGUAAAGGCGCACCAAGGCGACGAUCCUUAGCUGGUCUGAGAGGAUGAUCAGCCACACUGGGACUGAGAACACGGCCCAGACUCCUACGGGAGGCAGCAGUGGGGAAUAUUGGACAAUGGGCGAAAGCCUGAUCCAGCAAUGCCGCGUGAGUGAUGAAGGCCUUAGGGUUGUAAAGCUCUUUUACCCGGGAUGAUAAUGACAGUACCGGGAGAAUAAGCUCCGGCUAACUCCGUGCCAGCAGCCGCCGUAA
Molecule: ribosomal RNA, 450 nt
Filed under: uncultured bacterium
Lineage: Bacteria
Description: partial 16S ribosomal RNA
Rfam family: Bacterial small subunit ribosomal RNA
Source: RNAcentral